This 272-nucleotide ribosomal RNA is filed under the name uncultured Staphylococcus sp. RNAcentral describes it as "partial 16S ribosomal RNA". It matches the Rfam family "Bacterial small subunit ribosomal RNA", at positions 90 to 354 of the family's 1533-position model. The record is from RNAcentral. Lineage: Bacteria; Bacillati; Bacillota; Bacilli; Caryophanales; Staphylococcaceae.
CGUUAGCGGCGGACGGGUGAGUAACACGUGGGUAACCUACCUAUAAGACUGGGAUAACUUCGGGAAACCGGAGCUAAUACCGGAUAAUAUUUCGAACCGCAUGGUUCGAUAGUGAAAGAUGGUUUUGCUAUCACUUAUAGAUGGACCUGCGCCGUAUUAGCUAGUUGGUAAGGUAACGGCUUACCAAGGCGACGAUACGUAGCCGACCUGAGAGGGUGAUCGGCCACACUGGAACUGAGACACGGUCCAGACUCCUACGGGAGGCAGCAGGA